This 497-nucleotide ribosomal RNA is filed under the name uncultured bacterium. RNAcentral's name for it is "partial 16S ribosomal RNA". It matches the Rfam family "Bacterial small subunit ribosomal RNA", at positions 28 to 507 of the family's 1533-position model. The record is from RNAcentral.
GAUGAACGCUGGCGGCGUGCCUAAUACAUGCAAGUCGAGCGAACGGACGAGAAGCUUGCUUCUCUGAUGUUAGCGGCGGACGGGUGAGUAAUACGUGGAUAACCUACCUAUAAGACUGGGAUAACUUCGGGAAACCGGAGCUAAUACCGGAUAAUAUUUUGAACCGCAUGGUUCAAAAGUGAAAGACGGUCUUGCUGUCACUUAUAGAUGGAUCCGCGCUGCAUUAGCUAGUUGGUAAGGUAACGGCUUACCAAGGCAACGAUGCAUAGCCGACCUGAGAGGGUGAUCGGCCACACUGGAACUGAGACACGGUACAGACUCCUACGGGAGGCAGCAGUAGGGAAUCUUCCGCAAUGGGCGAAAGCCUGACGGAGCAACGCCGCGUGAGUGAUGAAGGUCUUCGGAUCGUAAAACUCUGUUAUUAGGGAAGAACAUAUGUGUAAGUAACUGUGCACAUCUUGACGGUACCUAAUCAGAAAGCCACGGCUAACUACGUG